GAUGAACGCUGGCGGCGUGCCUAAUACAUGCAAGUCGAGCGAACAGACGAGGAGCUUGCUCCUCUGAUGUUAGCGGCGGACGGGUGAGUAACACGUGGAUAACCUACCUAUAAGACUGGGAUAACUUCGGGAAACCGGAGCUAAUACCGGAUAACAUGUUGAACCGCAUGGUUCAACAGUGAAAGACGGUCUUGCUGUCACUUAUAGAUGGAUCCGCGCCGCAUUAGCUAGUUGGUAAGGUAACGGCUUACCAAGGCAACGAUGCGUAGCCGACCUGAGAGAGUGAUCGGCCACACUGGAACUGAGACACGGCCCAGACUCCUACGGGAGGCAGCAGUAGGGAAUCUUCCGCAAUGGGCGAAAGCCUGACGGAGCAACGCCGCGUGAGUGAAGAAGGUCUUCGGAUCGUAAAACUCUGUUAUUAGGGAAGAACAAAUGUGUAAGUAACUAUGCACGUCUUGACGGUACCUAAUCAGAAAGCCACGGCUAACUACGUG
This 497-nucleotide ribosomal RNA is filed under the name uncultured bacterium. RNAcentral describes it as "partial 16S ribosomal RNA". It matches the Rfam family "Bacterial small subunit ribosomal RNA", at positions 28 to 507 of the family's 1533-position model. The record is from RNAcentral.